UACGUAGGGUGCGAGCGUUAAUCGGAAUUACUGGGCGUAAAGCGUGCGCAGGCGGUUUGUUAAGACAGAUGUGAAAUCCCCGGGCUUAACCUGGGAACUGCAUUUGUGACUGGCAAGCUAGAGUAUGGCAGAGGGGGGUAGAAUUCCACGUGUAGCAGUGAAAUGCGUAGAGACGUGGAGGAAUACCGAUGGCGAAGGCAGCCCCCUGGGCCAAUACUGACGCUCAUGCACGAAAGCGUGGGGAGCAAACAGG
This 253-nucleotide ribosomal RNA is filed under the name uncultured bacterium. RNAcentral describes it as "partial 16S ribosomal RNA". It matches the Rfam family "Bacterial small subunit ribosomal RNA", at positions 524 to 776 of the family's 1533-position model. The record is from RNAcentral.